AUGAACGCUAGCUACAGGCUUAACACCUGCAAGUCGAGGGGAAACGACAUCGAAAGCUUGCUUUUGAUGGGCGUCGACCGGCGCACGGGUGAGUAACGCGUAUCCAACCUGCCCAUCACUUGGGAAUAACCUUGCGAAAGUAAGACUAAUACCCAAUGAUAUCCCACGAAGGCAUCGGAAUGGGAUUAAAGACUUAUCGGUGAUGGAUGGGGAUGCGUCUGAUUAGCUUGUUGGCGGGGUAACGGCCCACCAAGGCAACGAUCAGUAGGGGUUCUGAGAGGAAGGUCCCCCACAUUGGAACUGAGACACGGUCCAAACUCCUACGGGAGGCAGCAGUGAGGAAUAUUGGUCAAUGGGCGAGAGCCUGAACCAGCCAAGUAGCGUGCAGGAAGACGGCCAUAUGGGUUGUAAACUGCUUUUAUAAGGGAAUAAAGUGGGUCACGUGUGACUUUUUGCAUGUACCUUAUGAAUAAGGACCGGCUAAUUCCGUG
This 491-nucleotide ribosomal RNA is filed under the name uncultured bacterium. RNAcentral's name for it is "partial 16S ribosomal RNA". It matches the Rfam family "Bacterial small subunit ribosomal RNA", at positions 29 to 507 of the family's 1533-position model. The record is from RNAcentral.